UACGUAGGGGGCAAGCGUUGUCCGGAAUCAUUGGGCGUAAAGCGCGUGUAGGCGGGACGGCACGUCGGUCGCUGAACGCCCCCGGCUCAACCGGGGAACGGGCGCCGAUACGACCGCCCUGGAGGGACGUAGGGGGACCUGGAACUUCCGGUGGAGCGGUGAAAUGCGUUGAGAUCGGAAGGAACGCCCGUGGCGAAAGCGAGGUCCUGGACGUCUGCUGACGCUGAGACGCGAAAGCCAGGGGAGCGAACGGG
RNAcentral lists this ribosomal RNA (254 nucleotides) under uncultured bacterium. RNAcentral's name for it is "partial 16S ribosomal RNA". It matches the Rfam family "Bacterial small subunit ribosomal RNA", at positions 524 to 776 of the family's 1533-position model. The record is from RNAcentral.